This is a long non-coding RNA of Chlorocebus sabaeus (green monkey), 7390 nucleotides long. RefSeq lists it as uncharacterized. Lineage: Eukaryota; Metazoa; Chordata; Mammalia; Primates; Cercopithecidae. The record is from RefSeq and is a predicted model, not a curated record.
CCUGGGCUCAAUCAAUCCUCCUGCCUUGGCCUUCCAAAGUACUGGGAUUGCAGGUGUGAGCCACUGUACUCAGCCUGAUUUAUCUUUUGAUGGGCUUGUACUCAAGAGAGGGUCUGAGUCUACUGUAAGUCUAUUUCUCUUUAGCAAAUGCAAGAUGCUCUGUCCAUUUUGGUACUGUAAAUCUUCACUUAAUGUCAGAAUAGGUGUUUAGAAACUAAGACUUUAAGUGAAAUAAGGUACUGCUGUGCUCAAUUAACAUUAUUUUGUUAUAACAUUGAUGAGAAAAGUAUUGGUUUUGUUAUACAUCAUUCUGCUUAAAGUCACAGUUUCAAGAACCUAUCUAUGAUGUUAAGUGAGAACUUAUUAUGUAUCAUUUGCCUUUUGUAAAACUAUUUAUAUUUCUAAACUCAUAACUUAGAAAAAUUAAUAUAUUUUUGUUUAAGUUAAUGAUAGGCCAUCUGGAGGAUGUAAUAGUUUUUCAGAAUAUGCUAGGAGUUAACCAUUUUUUAGUUGCCAUGAAAACUCAUUUUAUCAAAUCAUUUAUUUAUUUGACAAAUAGGUUUGAAUGCUUUCUUUUUGCCAGAUACUGUGCUGAAAUGUCUUUCAGAAUCUUCACUGCUUAUUAUGUAGCAUAGACACUCCUGGGGAGAGGGCUGUCAUGUGAACUUGCAUGUUCUAUUGUUUGUUUCAGUUUUUAUUUAGCAGCUUAAAAAAUGUCUUCUAGUCCCAGGUCCAAAACCUUUAAAAUAUGAUAUUGUAUCUCCUCCCAUAGAAAGGUGGAGUCUGUCUCCCUAUCCUUUGAAUCCGGACUGGCCUCGUCACUUGCAUUGGACAAGGUAUAUGGCAGAAGUGAUGACGUGCCUGUUUUGAGUUUAGAUCGUUGGACGUCUUGAAUGCUUCCUCUUUCUUUCUCAGAUCUCUGCAGCUACUCUGUGAAUUGGUCUGUACGGGCCCACUGGAGUACAGAUGAGCCAUUUCAGCUGAGCCUACAAGAAACAUCCAGCUAAACCUAGCCGAAAUCGCCAACUUGCAGAAUUGUAAGCUAAAUAAAUGACUGCAAGCCAUUAAGUUCUGAGAAUCUGGGCUAUCCUUGUGACUUGCUUUGACUAACAGAAUGUGACAGAAUGACGUUGUGCAACAUCUGAAUCGAGACUCAAAAAACUGUAGGCAGCCAUCAUGCUGUGAACCCAAGCUGUGUGGAGAGACUAAGUGGAGAGGCUGAGUCUUGCAAUGUUGGUGAUGUUGGUCUUGAACUCGGCCUCAAGCAAUCCUCCCUCCCAGCUUCCCAAAGUGCUGGGAUUAGAGGCGUGAGUCACCACACUGGGCCUGAUCAUAUAUGUUUAAAAGAACAAUGUAUUUUUUGCUUGCAGGCUGCAAUGUGGAUAUACACUUACUAAAUGAAAUCCAUUAACUGUGUUUUCUAUAAUCUUACAAUUUUUUUCUUUGCUUUAUCUAUCAGUUCCUGGUAGAGGUAUAUUAUUGCAUAUUUGUCUCUUUCUUUUUAACAUUAUGAAACUGUAUUUCAAAUCAAUUUGUUAGGUACACACUAACUUAUGAUAAUUGUAUAAUUUUUGAUAGAUUGUAGUCUUUAUCUCUAGAUAUCGUAACCUCUUAUCGUUAUUGCUUUUAUUCUUAAUUUGUUUUCUCUAAAAUUCUCAUUAUUACAUGUCUUCUUUUGGUUGAUACAGUAUUUGUGUUUUAUAACUUAUCCUAUCCUAUUUAAAAUAUUCAGUAUUGUCCUAUUUCAAAUAUUCGGUAUUAUCCAGUAAUGUUCUAUUAUAAAAAUUUUUAACAGGAUUUAGAAAAAUGAAGCUGAUCAUCUUUAUCAUUUUUAAUUAGUGAGUUUAAUACAUUCAAGUACAUUGAUAUUACUGGUGCACAUUUGCAGUUAUUUCUAUUAUUAAUUAAACUUUAAAAAAUAUUUUUUCCUUUUUUACAUACAAGUUGAAUUGAUGAACCUUUUUCUUUUUCAUUUUUCUGCUACUUUGGAAGUCAUAUUAUAUCUUUUAGUGUUUGUUCAAAUUCUUAAACAUACACAAUUAGCCACAAAAUUUUCUAACAAGAUCCAGACUCAAUCAAUAUCUUCAUCUUUUCUCUGGAUAGUAUAAGAAAUGUUUCAUGUUUUAACUGCCAACUGAACAAUAUUCAACCUCUCAUUGUUUAGACUUUUUUCCACAUCUGUCAUAAGAACACAUUUUUAAUAUGAUUAUAUUUACUCCUUAUAGUUAAUAUUUGAUUAAAUUUACCAACACAUUUUUAUCAGUUUUGGCAGUUAUAACUUGUUUCUGUCAUUUGAGUCCUUUGUGUUCAUUGUACAUUCUGCUGAUGAACAUCCUUUACAGAUUCUUUCAGAAAGUGUCUAUAGAUGACAAGAUCUUAAUCUUUGUAUUUCUGUAAAUAUGAACAAACAUUUUAAUUUUUCUUAGAUAAAAGUCCAAAUUCAUUUCCAUCCUAUUAUCAUCUAUAAUAUUCACAUCAAAUGUCCAGGGAUAAUUAAGCUAAUAACUCACAAAAUUUACGUGAGACUUCCAGAUUGCAGGACACUUAUGAAAUAAAACUGAAGUGAACUAAAUAGACCUUCAUGUUAUUUUUAUUAUUUUCCGAGAUAAGAAAACAGAAGUUAUUUUGUAAAGGCAAAAAUUUUUUAAAUGGAAAUUGUAAUUUUAUAUUAAUAUUAUUUUGUUUCAUUACAUUUGGUUCUAGUUAUGAUUAACUUCUGAAAAUGAUCACUUUUUUCUUCUUUGAAUUUCUCUUAACCAUCUGUAAAAAUAUUUCUAUAAAGAUAAUAAAAAGAAGUGAAAUGCAGUUGUUAAAUAGAAAAAUAUAUAUGCAGUUUCAUUAAGUACAAGUAUCAAUGGCUCUGGAGCAAUCUUGUUCUUACUCUUUUAUAAAUCAAAGCUCUUUGAACAUGCAUUUUUGCAAGCUUGCUUUCAGCGUUAGAUUUUUCUCUUUGUAUUUUCUGAGGAGAAUUUUUAAAAAAUAGAAUAUUAUUUCCUCUUGGAAAGGUACAUCAUUACUCAGUGGCAUAUUGUUCAAAUGUCCAAAAGUUGUUCUUAGAAGGUCUUGUUUUGCUAGAUUCAUAUAUUUUUGUGAGGAAAAAGGAAGCUAAGAAAACAUACCAAAGAGUCCAUCAUACUAGACAACACAUAUUGGCAACUACUCUCUCUCUAUACACACACACAUAUAUAUAAAAUAUAUAUACACACAUAGAUACACGUACAUAUAUACAUAUAUAUGUACACACACACAUAUAUAUAAUUUAAGUUGAUAUAUAUAAGUAUAUAUAUAUUGAACCUUGUCAAAAUGCAUUAUUAUUUGCAAGGUUUUCUUAAAUUUCAUAAAGAGGUGAGCUGGAUUUCCCCUUAUACUGAGGAUUGCCUUUUGUGGUGAUAGUUAAAAACUGCCUAUGUAUACAUGAUAAAACCCAACUGUAAUAAAAAAAAGAUUGCUUUCUGUAAAUUCAUUUGAAAGGGUUCUGCUUAAAAUAAUGUUUUAUAAAGAUGAUGUGCUUUUUAUGAAAAGUCAUAAGUUUACCACCUUUACAUUAUAUUAGACAUUGCAUCAUGCUUUGUGAAAUGUAUCAUUAAAAUUGCAUCUUGAGUCCUUGUUGUUCAGCAAUUGAUUUUCUUUUGGGGAGUGCAUCGACACUGAAAUACAUAAUGUCAUCAGAAACAUAUGGAAGGAAACUGAACUGAUAGGCUAUUCCGCAUACUGCAUGGAAUUUUCUCAAGUUAUUUGGGCAAGUCUCACAGAAAGAAAACAUCCCAAAUACCCACAAUAAUCUAGAUGUACACACCUCAGAGGUAUUCUCAGAUAUAUAUAAGAAUGCUAUCAUUAUAAUUUAAUACUCAAGUAGAUAUUUGUACUAAAGAGAGACGUUCCAAAAACAUUCUGAAUUUAAUUGUAAAACAAAGACACCUAAGUCUUGGAAGAAUUAAAGUAGAAUUGGAAACCAAGUAUUCUUUCUUCAAUCUAAAGCAUAACGUCGUUUCACUGGGUAUACAUUCCACUAAAAUGAGUGAACAAUUGACACUGGAAAACUCGAAGCUUAGGUCUGGUUGACUUGGCAAUGUCAGACAUCCUCAUUUGAUGAUGUCAGCUGCCCAGAAGGAGUCAAAGUGGAAAGGAGUGCUCCUCUUUCCCUCUCCAUUGCUUUGGUCUCAACACUCCUAAAGGGAAGAGCUGUCCAUUCCUGUGACUCUCCAACCCUACCUGUUAAGUUCCUUAAAAAUUUAUUGGGCAUCCGUCUUAGUCCAUUUGUGAUGCUCUAAAGGUAUUUCUGAGACUGAGCAAUUUGUAAAGAAAAGAGAUUUGUUUGGCUUGCGGUUAUAUAAUCUGCAGGGUUAUACAAGAAGCAUGGUGCCACCAUUCGUUUCUGGUAAGGGCUUCAGGGAGCUUCCAUUCCUUGCAGAAAGGGAAGGAGAGCCAGCAUCACAUGGCAAGAGAGUAGGAAAAAGAGAAAGAGAGAGAGAGAGAGAGAGGAAAGGGGUGCCAUAUUCUUUAAAACAACCAGUUCUCUUGGGAACAAAAUAGAGCAAGAACUCACUCAUUACUGAAAGGAUAGCACCAAGCCAUUUUUGAAGGGUUCAUCCCCGUGAUCCAAACACCUUCCACCAGGCCCCACCUCCAAAGAAUCAAAUUUUAACAUGAGAUUUGGAGGAGACAAAUAUCUAAACUAUAUCAACAUUUAUAUAUUCCAUGCAUUGCACUUGGUGCUGGAGUACAGAGUAUGUAAAGAUGAGUAAUAGGAAAGCAGGCUUUUUUUUUUUUUUUUAAGUUGUUCACUUCUCUAUCCCCAGUCCUUAGUACAUUGUGUGGCAUGCAUUAAAACAGGAUCAAUAAGUUUGUGUUGAAUAAAUGAAGGAAAGUUUCUAAAGUAGACUAAAUACGAUAAUAAAUUCUUUGGUUUUCCUCGUUAAGAGAUGAGUCUGAUUUCCUUUUUCUUCGAUUUGGGUUGGCCUUAGUGAAUUGUUUGAACAAUAUAACAUGAAUAAACUGGUGUUCUGAGGCUUCCAAAGCUGGGUCUUUAGAAGCCAUGCAAUUUAUCUCUGUGCUUGUUUGAAUAAUCACUGUGGGAGCCCUGGAACAACCUUGAAGAAAUUCUACUACCCUGAGACCACCGUGCAGAUUGGCCAUUUGUAGGCAUUCCAGUGGAUAAUACCAGCUGAGCCAAACCUUCCAGCCAUUCCCUCCCAUACACUAAACAAAUGAAUGAGGCUGGCUUGGAUUCUUCUGGCCAACCCAUCCACCAGCUGAUACCUGCAAGAUCUAAGCUGACACAGUACAUGGAGCAAGAAAAUUGCCCAGAUGAGUGCUGUCCAAAUUAUUGACACACAAAAUUGUGGGACAAUAUAAUGUUGUUAUUUUAAGUAGCUAAAUAUUGGAGUUGUUUAUUACACAGCAAUAAAUAACUGAAACAGCUGCUAAAGGAUUACAGUUUUGGUGGAUGUGAGGAAAGGUAGAAAGAAUCUCAGUGAUGCAGAUAUAUACAGAUAUUUAUAAUCCAAAAUAUUAUUUUCUAAAUCAGAGUUUUGCGUAGGGGGCUAUGUGAAAGCCUGAAAGAGAUAAUCAACUCAACUUAGGAGGCAGAAUAUUUAUUCCUUGAAAGAAAUGAGGUCCAAGCUAAUGCACCUCUUUUGAGGGAGAAAUGAAUGAAAAUGUGACAUGUCACAUGACAGUUUCUCUUUUCUGAUUUAGAUCACAUUUUUGUUAAUGAAUGCAAUAAAUGAUAAUUACCUUUUUUCACUAAAAUAAUAAGAAUCUGAUCCCUCAGAGCUAUUCUGGGGGAUAUUGGAGACUAACCGUCCAAAAUGAGGUCACAAGUCCUGAGAUACAGUGGUUGAUUAUGUGGAAUUGACCCAGCUGCUGAGAAAGAGGCAAAGCAUGGGUUAUCCUCAGUAUUUGGUAUCAUGGAAAUCUAGGCGGAAUAAUGGUAUUUUUUUUUGCAGUAGUUGAGGAGCAAUAUUUUUGGGCAAUGUCUGGUACAUUGUUUAGGCCUUUGGCAAGCUUGUUUACAUCAAAAGUUCAUGGAUCACCUUCAGACAAGAUAUUCAGAGUCUGUCAGUAUAGAGAGGUAUCAUUUGUGUCUGGGGAAGAAUUGAAAAUUUCUGAAUCAGUGAUGCUGAAAUACUACAGAUAGAUCACAAAUUAAAUUUGGAGGUGGUAGACUUGUUUCUUCUACUGUAAACAGAGUGACCUAGCAUUUUAAACAGUGAUUUAUGAAGUAUCUCCCAUUUCUAAGUUUAUAGGAGUCUACAACUCCCACAAUUCUUUCUUGUGCUACUGUGAGUACUGUGAGUUCUUAGGCCACAAUUUUAUGCCAUUUAACAACUUUGGAGUUCCUCAUACUCAACUUCCAAUGGAGAUUUAAUGCUGCUGCCUCUGGGAAGCAGUGAACACUUCCUUGAACUGCAGAUCUUUAUCGACUGCAUUAGUCUUCAAUGUAGAUUCUCUUUCACCUCCCAAAACCAGCGCAUUUGAAUUUCUAAUGACAGUAUAUGAAGUACAUCUUACAUCUCUUCCCAGGGCUGCAGUUGAACAUACCAGUACUCUCAGAUGUAGAGAAGUAAUUGGAAACUAGCCAUUCAGUCUUUCUCAAAGUUCAGACACAAUGACCGGAUUUCCCCCUUCUGUACCAUUUGGCUUUUAUUUUUAGCUCAGGUUGAACUGGAGGUAGGUGGGGAGAAUUUUUCAAAGCAAAGUGAAUAUUGUUAUAGGAUUAUGACACUGGAGUGGACAUUCAAUUAUCAGUGAAAGACUGUUCUUAAGUCUGAAGCGACUGGAGGCCUUUUCAGUCUAGAAAGAGUUAGUCGUAAGUUGUGCUUGAGAUGGGCAAUGGGGGAAAAAUAAAGUUUUCUUUUUUGGGAGAUUAAAAAGAUAUGGUUGGUCUUACACAAGUUGUGGCUGUUGUGCACAGGAGCUAGCAAGGACUCCACUUUGGCUGCAGCUGGAGGCUGGUGUAGGAGAAUCAACAGAGUUUCCCCUAAUUGAAUGACAAGGCGGAGAACCAUCUGCAUAGGACCUAGGAUACCAGGGGAAGAAAUCUGGAUACUAUUUCAAGGUAUUUGGGAAUAAAAAAAUAUAUUUGAGCAGGAAAAUAAUAAAAUUAAUGUAGUAUUUUAAGGUCAAAUCUAGAAGAUAUUUAACAUAUGUUGAGCACUGACUAAAUAUGCCAAAUAGUUUUUAUACAUUAUUUACUUAAAUAACACUAUAAAGAAAUAUUUGCUUCAUUUUGUAGAUGAGAAAAUUUAACUUUGGAUUAGUAAACAAGCUUACCCGACAUCACACAUCUGGCAAGUGGAAAAAACAAGAUUUAACCCCAAUUUACCUAAUUCCAAAGACGGUGCUCUUCCAUGAGGCUAGGCAUGUGUCUAAGAAAUGAAUUAGUUAA